Molecule: ribosomal RNA, 680 nt
Filed under: Streptomyces sp.
Lineage: Bacteria; Bacillati; Actinomycetota; Actinomycetes; Kitasatosporales; Streptomycetaceae
Description: bacterial SSU rRNA
Rfam family: Bacterial small subunit ribosomal RNA
Source: RNAcentral
CAUGCUAGUCGAACGAUGAAGCCCUUCGGGGUGGAUUAAGUGGCGAACGGGUGAGUAACACGUGGGCAAUCUGCCCUGCACUCUGGGACAAGCCCUGGAAACGGGGUCUAAUACCGGAUAUGACCAUCUUGGGCAUCCUUGAUGGUGUAAAGCUCCGGCGGUGCAGGAUGAGCCCGCGGCCUAUCAGCUUGUUGGUGAGGUAGUGGCUCACCAAGGCGACGACGGGUAGCCGGCCUGAGAGGGCGACCGGCCACACUGGGACUGAGACACGGCCCAGACUCCUACGGGAGGCAGCAGUGGGGAAUAUUGCACAAUGGGCGAAAGCCUGAUGCAGCGACGCCGCGUGAGGGAUGACGGCCUUCGGGUUGUAAACCUCUUUCAGCAGGGAAGAAGCGAAAGUGACGGUACCUGCAGAAGAAGCGCCGGCUAACUACGUGCCAGCAGCCGCGGUAAUACGUAGGGCGCAAGCGUUGUCCGGAAUUAUUGGGCGUAAAGAGCUCGUAGGCGGCUUGUCACGUCGGUUGUGAAAGCCCGGGGCUUAACCCCGGGUCUGCAGUCGAUACGGGCAGGCUAGAGUUCGGUAGGGGAGAUCGGAAUUCCUGGUGUAGCGGUGAAAUGCGCAGAUAUCAGGAGGAACACCGGUGGCGAAGGCGGAUCUCUGGGCCGAUACUGACGCUGAG